Dreissena polymorpha is the source of this 458-nucleotide long non-coding RNA. RefSeq lists it as uncharacterized. Lineage: Eukaryota; Metazoa; Mollusca; Bivalvia; Myida; Dreissenidae. The transcript is spliced from 3 exons. The record is from RefSeq and is a predicted model, not a curated record.
AAUGACAGACAGACAGGACAAAAACAAUAUACAUUGUAUCCCCGAUCUAUCGAUCCGGGGCCAUACAAAAUGAAAUAAUGCACCAAUGAUUUUUGUACAUGUUUCAAAGUGAAAUUACAUUUUGAAUAGGUCUAUAAUUGAUAUUUAAUAUUAUUUAAUUUUAGUGCUGCGAUGUCAAAAUCAGUUUCCUUUAAUCCGAAAAGAAGAUAUACACCAUCGAUGGCUGAGAAUGGCUAUAGAAGCGCAACUAUUUCUCCUCCAGACAAACCUUCACCAUCAUGUUGCAGUCAUUGCAGUCUACAUGAACUUAAUGCCUUGAAGAAGAGGAAGCUGGAGCUUCAAAUACAAUUGUUUGAGGCCCAGUUGGCGCGAUUUGAUGAGGAAUAGAUUAUUUUGUUAUUUGUUAUUAUUUUGUUAUGAAGAUAUAGUUUAGUUAUAUUAAAGAGUUACAUGAAAUU